GAUGAACGCUGGCGGCGUGCUUAACACAUGCAAGUCGAACGGAAAGGCCACAGCUUGCUGUGGUACUCGAGUGGCGAACGGGUGAGUAACACGUGGGUGAUCUGCCCUGUACUUCGGGAUAAGCUUGGGAAACUGGGUCUAAUACCGGAUAGGAAUCACAUGUGGGUGUGUGGUUGGAAAGCUUUUGCGGUAUGGGAUGAGCUCGCGGCCUAUCAGCUUGUUGGUGGGGUAAUGGCCUACCAAGGCGUCGACGGGUAGCCGGCCUGAGAGGGUGUACGGCCACAUUGGGACUGAGAUACGGCCCAGACUCCUACGGGAGGCAGCAGUGGGGAAUAUUGCACAAUGGGCGCAAGCCUGAUGCAGCGACGCCGCGUGGGGGAUGACGGCCUUCGGGUUGUAAACUCCUUUCGUCAGGGACGAAGCGAAAGUGACGGUACCUGGAUAAGAAGCACCGGCUAACUACGUG
RNAcentral lists this ribosomal RNA (466 nucleotides) under uncultured bacterium. RNAcentral describes it as "partial 16S ribosomal RNA". It matches the Rfam family "Bacterial small subunit ribosomal RNA", at positions 28 to 507 of the family's 1533-position model. The record is from RNAcentral.